CCGGCUCCAACUCGGGCGCAACAGCAAUGACAUCGGUAGAGGGACUAGGUGAAGGAGGCUCGCCGCUCGUAUUAAAGUUGAUCUCAACCGAAGGGUUGAACCUCGCCAGCUUAUCCUCCCAACGAAGCUGCUCAUCCACUAAUUGAUCCAUGAUAUAGCUGCGCAACUCCUCUGAACUACGAAACGACUCGACCACUUCGGCUCGGGCAUCAACUAUCUCCUCGGCCUUCGACCGUUUAAGCUCUUCCACUUCCUUGGCCAGCGCCAUCUUCUGCAACAGCAGGGUGUUCCUCUCUCGGAUGGCCUACUGCACCUCAGCCAUCUUACCCUUGGCCAUCUCAUCACGCC
This 348-nucleotide long non-coding RNA is filed under the name Prunus persica (peach). RNAcentral's name for it is "long non-coding RNA (PPER_LNC003660)". Lineage: Eukaryota; Viridiplantae; Streptophyta; Magnoliopsida; Rosales; Rosaceae. The record is from RNAcentral.